Small nucleolar RNA from Pristis pectinata (smalltooth sawfish), 68 nucleotides. The record is from RefSeq and is a predicted model, not a curated record. Lineage: Eukaryota; Metazoa; Chordata; Chondrichthyes; Rhinopristiformes; Pristidae.
UGGAAGUGAUGUAAAGUUGACCACCUGAUGUUUUCUGGAGGGAAAGACUGAUUUAAUGAGGCUGAUCC